RNAcentral lists this ribosomal RNA (558 nucleotides) under Veseris bellator. Its description in RNAcentral is "SSU rRNA". It matches the Rfam family "Eukaryotic small subunit ribosomal RNA", at positions 487 to 962 of the family's 1831-position model. The record is from RNAcentral. Lineage: Eukaryota; Metazoa; Arthropoda; Insecta; Hemiptera; Reduviidae.
GGGACUCUAUUGAGGCCCGUAAUGCGGAAUGAGUACACUCUAAAUCCUUUAACAAGGAUCCAUUGGAGGGCAAGUCUGGUGCCAGCAGCCGCGGUAAUUCCAGCUCCAAUAGCGUAUAUUAAAGUUGUUGCGGUUAAAAAGCUCGUAGUUGGUUCUGCGUGCCACGCUGUCGGUUCGCCGCCUGUCGGUGUAACUGGCAUGUCGCGGCAUGUCCUGUCGGUGGUGAACGCUAUUCCCGGUUCAGCGUAGGCUUUUAUAGCCAAAGUUUGUACCGUGUGAAUAACGUUUGCCGAUCUCUCCUACUCCGGUGCUCUUAAACGAGUGUCGAGGUAGGCCGACACGUUCACUUUGAACAAAUUAGAGUGCUUAAAGCAGGCUGAAAUAUCUGCCUGAAUAGUGGUGCAUGGAAUGAUAAAAUAGGACCUCGGUUCUAUUUUGUUGGUUUUAGGAAUGUGAGGUAAUGAUCAAUGUGGACUGGCGGGGGCAUUCGUAUUGCGACGUUGGAGGUGAAAUUCUUGGAUCGUCGCAAGACGCACUAAAGCGAAAGCUUUUGCCAAG